This 139-nucleotide ribosomal RNA is filed under the name uncultured bacterium. Its description in RNAcentral is "partial 16S rRNA". It matches the Rfam family "Bacterial small subunit ribosomal RNA", at positions 357 to 511 of the family's 1533-position model. The record is from RNAcentral.
GGGAAUUUUCCGCAAUGGGCGAAAGCCUGACGGAGCAAUGCCACGUGGAGGUGGAAGGCCUACGGGUCGUCAACUUCUUUUCUCGGAGAAGAAACAAUGACGGUAUCUGAGGAAUAAGCAUCGGCUAACUCUGUGACAG